AACCCAAUAGCUAGCCCCC
RNAcentral lists this ribosomal RNA (19 nucleotides) under Heterophallus milleri. Its description in RNAcentral is "partial 16S ribosomal RNA". The record is from RNAcentral. Lineage: Eukaryota; Metazoa; Chordata; Actinopteri; Cyprinodontiformes; Poeciliidae.